UCACUGAUGACGCUAGUCAGACAAUGAUGCAUCGACUACGAACGCGUGAUGAAGUCCAUCGAGCUGGUAGGACAGUGAGUGAAGUCACUGACGAUCUACAGACGACGCUAUACGUCAGACGCGGUAUACGUAGUCGACGUGUCGGAUAUGACGUAAGCGAGCCAGCGUAGAUAGUCGAGUAAAGCUUGCUACCAUAGUAUGCUUGAACUGUUACUGAGGCAGAAGGGGAGAGUGAUCCAUGUGUAGCGUGAAUGCGUAGAUAUAUGAGAACACGUGCGAAAGCGCUCUCUUGUUCUGUAACUGACGCUGAGGCUCGAAGCGUGGGAGCAACAGGAUUAGAUACCUGGUAGUCCACGCGUAAACGAUGAGUGCUAGGUGUUAGGCCCUUUCUGGGCUUAGUGCCGCAGCUAACGCAUUAAGCACUCCGCUGGGGAGUACGACCGCAAGGUUGAAACUCAAAGGAAUUGACGGGGGCCCGCACAAGCGGUGGAGCAUGUGGUUUUAAUUCGAAGCAACGCGAAGAACCUUACCAGGUCUUGACAUCCCUCUGACCGCUCUAGAGAUAGAGUUUUCCUUCGGGACAGAGGUGACAGGUGGUGCAUGGUUGUCGUCAGCUCGUGUCGUGAGAUGUUGGGUUAAGUCCCGCAACGAGCGCAACCCCUAUUGUUAGUUGCCAUCAUUGAGUUGGGCACUCUAGCGAGACUGCCGGUAAUAAACCGGAGGAAGGUGGGGAUGACGUCAAAUCAUCAUGCCCCUUAUGACCUGGGCUACACACGUGCUACAAUGGCUGGUACAACGAGUCGCAAGCCGGUGACGGCAAGCUAAUCUCUGAAAGCCAGUCUCAGUUCGGAUUGUAGGCUGCAACUCGCCUACAUGAAGUCGGAAUCGCUAGUAAUCGCGGAUCAGCACGCCGCGGUGAAUACGUUCCCGGGCCUUGUACACACCGCCCGUCACACCACGAGAGUUUGUAACACCCGAAGUCGGUGAGGUAACCGUAAGGAGCCAGCCGCCUAAGGUGGGAUAGAUGAUUGGGGUGAAGUCGUAACAAGGUAGCCGUAUCGGAAGGUGCGGCUGGAUCACCCCU
RNAcentral lists this ribosomal RNA (1084 nucleotides) under uncultured bacterium. RNAcentral describes it as "bacterial SSU rRNA". It matches the Rfam family "Bacterial small subunit ribosomal RNA". The record is from RNAcentral.